GACGAACGCUGGCGGCGUGCUUAACACAUGCAAGUCGAACGGAAAGGCCCUGCUUUUGUGGGGUGCUCGAGUGGCGAACGGGUGAGUAACACGUGAGUAACCUGCCCUUGACUUUGGGAUAACUUCAGGAAACUGGGGCUAAUACCGGAUAGGAGCUCCUGCUGCAUGGUGGGGGUUGGAAAGUUUCGGCGGUUGGGGAUGGACUCGCGGCUUAUCAGCUUGUUGGUGGGGUAGUGGCUUACCAAGGCUUUGACGGGUAGCCGGCCUGAGAGGGUGACCGGCCAAAUUGGGCCGGAGAGCGGGCACGAACCCCUGGGGGGGGAACAGGGGGGAAAUUUGCAAAAGGGGAGGGAGGCCGGAUGAGGCACCCCGGGGUGGGGAGUGGGGCCUUUGGGUUUGAAACCCCUUUUCGCCUGGAACAAAGCGGGAGUGAGGGUAGUGGAAAAAGAACCACCGGCAAACUAGGGC
This 468-nucleotide ribosomal RNA is filed under the name uncultured bacterium. RNAcentral describes it as "partial 16S ribosomal RNA". It matches the Rfam family "Bacterial small subunit ribosomal RNA", at positions 28 to 508 of the family's 1533-position model. The record is from RNAcentral.